AGUGAACGCUGGCGGUAGGCCUAACACAUGCAAGUCGAACGGCAGCACAGUAAGAGCUUGCUCUUACGGGUGGCGAGUGACGGACGGGUGAGGAAUACAUCGGAAUCUACUUUUUCGUGGGGGAUAACGUAGGGAAACUUACGCUAAUACCGCAUACGACCUACGGGUGAAAGCAGGGGAUCUUCGGACCUUGCACGAUUGAAUGAGCCGAUGUCGGAUUAGCUAGUUGGCGGGGUAAAGGCCCACCAAGGCGACGAUCCGUAGCUGGUCUGAGAGGAUGAUCAGCCACACUGGAACUGAGACACGGUCCAGACUCCUACGGGAGGCAGCAGUGGGGAAUAUUGGACAAUGGGCGCAAGCCUGAUCCAGCCAUACCGCGUGGGUGAAGAAGGCCUUCGGGUUGUAAAGCCCUUUUGUUGGGAAAGAAAAGCAGCAGGUUAAUACCCCGCUGUUCUGACGGUACCCAAAGAAUAAGCACCGGCUAACUUCGUG
This 492-nucleotide ribosomal RNA is filed under the name uncultured bacterium. Its description in RNAcentral is "partial 16S ribosomal RNA". It matches the Rfam family "Bacterial small subunit ribosomal RNA", at positions 29 to 507 of the family's 1533-position model. The record is from RNAcentral.